This 429-nucleotide unclassified non-coding RNA is filed under the name uncultured fungus. RNAcentral's name for it is "partial contains 5.8S ribosomal RNA, internal transcribed spacer 2, and large subunit ribosomal RNA". The record is from RNAcentral. Lineage: Eukaryota; Fungi. RNAcentral also lists the same sequence under 1 other name.
AACGCACCUUGCGCUCUCUGGUAUUCCGGGGAGCAUGCCUGUUUGAGAAUCGCAAAGCAACACAAAUCAUAUUCUUGUUUUGAAAGUAUUUUUUCGGAAAUAUUUUUUGGGCUCGAGUGUGGAGUUGAGCCGCAUUCUCUCUUUUCUCUGAAAGGAGGGAUGGCUUGAAAUACAGAAGGACGGGGUCUGGGUUAAACCAGGCUUUUCCGGGUCAGACUAAUUAUACACGAGUAAUAAUAGUUAAUGCUUGCAAUAUAGCGUUAUUCUUUUGCUCUGUGGGUUUUGAUCUGGGCGUUUGUCGUCCUCACACUUCUUCUCUUUUAAUCGGGGGGAGGAGGAAGCGAUAUCUUGACGAGGAUUCAAAAUCUUCGGAUUUUGGCCUCUGACCUCUUAGAUCUCAAAUCAGGCAAGAGUACCCGCUGAACUUAA